RNAcentral lists this ribosomal RNA (546 nucleotides) under uncultured Bacillaceae bacterium. RNAcentral describes it as "bacterial SSU rRNA". It matches the Rfam family "Bacterial small subunit ribosomal RNA", at positions 884 to 1427 of the family's 1533-position model. Lineage: Bacteria; Bacillati; Bacillota; Bacilli; Caryophanales; Bacillaceae. The record is from RNAcentral.
GUCCGCAAGGCUGAAAAUUCAAAGGAAUUGACGGGGGCCCGCACAAGCGGUGGAGCAUGUGGUUUAAUUAGAAGCAACGCGAAGAACCUUACCAGGUCUUGACAUCCUCUGACACUCCUAGAGAUAGGAUUUUCCCCUUCGGGGGACAGAGUGACAGGUGGUGCAUGGUUGUCGUCAGCUCNUGUCGUGAGAUGUUGGGUUAAGUCCCGCAACGAGCGCAACCCUUGAUCUUAGUUGCCAGCAUUCAGUUGGGCACUCUAAGGUGACUGCCGGUGACAAACCGGAGGAAGGUGGGGAUGACGUCAAAUCAUCAUGCCCCUUAUGACCUGGGCUACACACGUGCUACAAUGGAUGGUACAAAGGGCAGNGAAGCCGCGAGGUGGAGCCAAUCCCAUAAAACCAUUCUCAGUUCGGAUUGCAGGCUGCAACUCGCCUGCAUGAAGCCGGAAUCGCUAGUAAUCGCGGAUCAGCAUGCCGCGGUGAAUACGUUCCCAGGCCUUGUACCUCACCGCCCGUCACACCACGAGAGUUUGUAACACCCGAAGU